GAUCAACGCUGGCGGCGUGCCUAAUACAUGCAAGUCGAGCGAACGGACGAGAAGCUUGCUUCUCUGAUGUUAGCGGCGGACGGGUGAGUAACACGUGGAUAACCUACCUAUAAGACUGGGAUAACUUCGGGAAACCGGAGCUAAUACCGGAUAAUAUUUUGAACCGCAUGGUUCAAAAGUGAAAGACGGUCUUGCUGUCACUUAUAGAUGGAUCCGCGCUGCAUUAGCUAGUUGGUAAGGUAACGGCUUACCAAGGCAACGAUGCAUAGCCGACCUGAGAGGGUGAUCGGCCACACUGGAACUGAGACACGGUCCAGACUCCUACGGGAGGCAGCGGUAGGGAAUCUUCCGCAAUGGGCGAAAGCCUGACGGAGCAACGCCGCGUGAGUGAUGAAGGUCUUCGGAUCGUAAAACUCUGUUAUUAGGGAAGAACAUAUGUGUAAGUAACUGUGCACAUCUUGACGGUACCUAAUCAGAAAGCCACGGCUAACUACGUG
Molecule: ribosomal RNA, 497 nt
Filed under: uncultured bacterium
Lineage: Bacteria
Description: partial 16S ribosomal RNA
Rfam family: Bacterial small subunit ribosomal RNA
Source: RNAcentral